GUAGGUGUGAUAGAACCUAUCCCAGCAGGCCAGGCGGCGCGGGACUACCUGGCGCGACACGUGAACCCCACCCUCCUGGGGGGCCUGACAGAGCUCUGCAAACAGAAGCCUGAAGACCCUGUGACUUGGCUUGCAGACUGGAUGAUUGAGAACAACCCUAACAAGCCCAAGAUUAGGCAGCCGAUCAUCCAAGAGCCUGAAUAAA
Branchiostoma belcheri (Belcher's lancelet) is the source of this 205-nucleotide long non-coding RNA. RefSeq lists it as uncharacterized. The transcript has 2 exons. The record is from RefSeq and is a predicted model, not a curated record. NCBI's taxonomy places the organism in Eukaryota, Metazoa, Chordata, Leptocardii, Amphioxiformes, Branchiostomatidae.